AAACCGAAAGGGCAAAUCUUGAGCAAUCAAGAGACGCAAAGUUCCAGUCCGGCACAUGCUUCAAAGAAUGUUCUGAGUAACGCGAGCGAUAUUGGGUAGAAGAGUUUGUACUCAGAGCGAAAACAUUUGAGAAAAUCAUGUGACGGAGGCUGAACUGCCGAU
Molecule: non-coding RNA, 162 nt
Filed under: Candidatus Firestoneibacteriota
Lineage: Bacteria
Description: Candidatus Firestonebacteria c-di-GMP sequence
Rfam family: c-di-GMP-I riboswitch aptamer
About the family: GEMM was predicted in a large-scale screen for bacterial structured RNA regulatory elements. Genes associated with GEMM are involved in a diverse array of functions, including chemotaxis regulation, signal transduction, secretion and chitin.
Source: RNAcentral